This 902-nucleotide ribosomal RNA is filed under the name uncultured bacterium. Its description in RNAcentral is "bacterial SSU rRNA". It matches the Rfam family "Bacterial small subunit ribosomal RNA", at positions 33 to 919 of the family's 1533-position model. The record is from RNAcentral.
ACGCUGGCGGCGUGCCUAAUACAUGCAAGUAGAACGCUGAAGGAGGAGCUUGCUUCUCCGGAUGAGUUGCGAACGGGUGAGUAACGCGUAGGUAACCUGCCUGGUAGCGGGGGAUAACUAUUGGAAACGAUAGCUAAUACCGCAUAAUAGUAGAUGUUGCAUGACAUUUGCUUAAAAGGUGCAAUUGCAUCACUACCAGAUGGACCUGCGUUGUAUUAGCUAGUUGGUGGGGUAACGGCUCACCAAGGCGACGAUACAUAGCCGACCUGAGAGGGUGAUCGGCCACACUGGGACUGAGACACGGCCCAGACUCCUACGGCAGGCAGCAGUAGGGAAUCUUCGGCAAUGGACGGAAGUCUGACCGAGCAACGCCGCGUGAGUGAAGAAGGUUUUCGGAUCGUAAAGCUCUGUUGUAAGAGAAGAACGAGUGUGAGAGUGGAAAGUUCACACUGUGACGGUAUCUUACCAGAAAGGGACGGCUAACUACGUGCCAGUAGCCGCGGUAAUACAUAGGUCCCGAGCGUUGUCCGGAUUUAUUGGGCGUAAAGCGAGCGCAGGCGGUUAGAUAAGUCUGAAGUUAAAGGCUGUGGCUUAACCAUAGUACGCUUUGGAAACUGUUUAACUUGAGUGCAAGAGGGGAGAGUGGAAUUCCAUGUGUAGCGGUGAAAUGCGUAGAUAUAUGGAGGAACACCGGUGGCGAAAGCGGCUCUCUGGCUUGUAACUGACGCUGAGGCUCGAAAGCGUGGGGAGCAAACAGGAUUAGAUACCCUGGUAGUCCACGCCGUAAACGAUGAGUGCUAGGUGUUAGACCCUUUCCGGGGUUUAGUGCCGCAGCUAACGCAUUAAGCACUCCGCCUGGGGAGUACGACCGCAAGGUUGAAACUCAAAGGAAUUGACGGGGG